AACGAACGCUGGCGGCAUGCCUAACACAUGCAAGUCGAACGAGACCUUCGUGUCUAGUUGCUCACGGGUGCGUAACGCGUGGGAACCUGCCCUAAGGCUCGGAAUAACUCCCCUAAAGGGGUGCUAACACCGGAUAACGUCCUCUGACCAAAGAUUUAUCGCCCUUGGAUGGGCCCGCGUUGGAUUAGCUAGUUGGUAGAGUAAAAGCCUACCAAGGCGACGAUACAUAGCUGGUCUGAGAGGAUGAUCAGCCACACUGGGACUGAGACACGGCCCAGACUCCUACGGGAGGCAGCAGUGCGGGAUAUUGGACCAUGGGCGAAAGCCUGAUCCAGCAAUGCCGCGUGAGUGAUGAAGGCCUUAGGGUUGUAAAGCUCUUUUACCCGGGAUGAUAAUGACAGUACCGGGAGAAUAAGCACCGGCUAACUCCGUG
Molecule: ribosomal RNA, 433 nt
Filed under: uncultured bacterium
Lineage: Bacteria
Description: partial 16S ribosomal RNA
Rfam family: Bacterial small subunit ribosomal RNA
Source: RNAcentral